AGCUUACCGGUCGAGAGACAAGGCCUCGAAAAUGGACGGGGCUUAAGCUGGCUACCGAUACCCUGGAGCACGCUGUUAAUCAGCGUGUCUGGUAGGAGGGCGUUCGGCUUGGGGAGAAGCUGGGCCCUGAGGCCCAGUGGACCGAGUCGAAGUGUAGACCCCGGUGGUAGUAACAUCAAAGUUGGGUGAGAAUCUCAACCGCCGUAAGGGCCAGGGUUCCCCGGCAAUGCGUCGUCAGCCGGGGGUUAGUCGGUCCUAAGGCUUGCUCUUAACACGAGUAGGCUGAUAAGGGGAAGCUGGUUAAUAUUCCAGCACCAGACGGGUACGUGCGGCGACGCUAGGCCUAGGAGCCGACGGCUUGGGAUAGAGUGAGCAGGGUUGCUGCCCUGUUUAACUGUUUAAGCCUGGGGAGUGCCGUAAAGGCGAGAACCAGGUGAAGACGGGAAUAGCAUGCCAUUAGGCGUGUUCACUUGAUUCCUAGGUCCAUGGAAAAGGCUUCUAGGAAGGAUCCUGUCUGCCCGUACCGAGAACCGACACAGGUGCCCCUGGGUGAGAAGCCCAAGGCGUGUCGGGGGUAAUCCAUGGCGAGGGAACUCGGCAAAUUGGCCACGUAACUUUGGGAGAAGUGGUGCCUGAAGCUGGGCCGCAAGGCUUGGCAUCAGGUCGCAGUGACAAGGGGGUCCCGACUGUUUACUAAAAACACAGGGAACCGUUAGCCCGAAAGGGUUUACCCGGUUCUUGAAUCCUGGCCAGUGGCGGUACCUGAAACCUGGGUCCAACUGGGCUAAGGGCCGCUAAACGCCGGGAGUAACUCUGACUCUCUUAAGGUAGCCAAAUGCCUUGUCGGGUAAGUUCCGACGUGCAUGAAUGGAUCAACGAGGGCCCCGCUGUCCCCGCCUGGAACCCGGUGAACCCACGUAACGUGGACGAACAGUCCACGGAUUCCCAGCGGGAAAAGAAGUCCCUGUGGAGCUUUACUGCAGCCUGUCGUUGUAGUGGCGGCUUCGGUGCAUAGCGUAAGCGGGAGCCGUUACAGGCUCAUUCUCUCGGGGGUGAGCUGAGGCGAUAAUGAAACACCGCUUACCGGGACUGUUGCUACUGAUCUAGGCGAAAGCCUAGAAACAGCGGUAGGUGGGCAGUUUGGCUGGGGCGGCCCCCCCUUGAAAAGAUAUCGAGGGGGCCCAAAGGUCGGCUCAGACGGGUCAGAACUCCGUCGUGGAGGGCAAAGCCAAAAGCCGGCCUGACUGGUUCUCGCACAUCAGGAGAACCAGGGGCGAAAGCCGGGCUUAGCGAUCAUCCAUGCUCCCCAUUGGUGGGGGCUGGAUGUGUCAGAAAAAUUACCCUAGGGAUAACAGGCUCGUCGCGGGCGAGAGUCCCCAUCGACCCCGCGGCUUGGUACCUCGAUGUCGGCUCUUCCUAUCCUGGCCCUGCAUAAGGGGCCAAGGGUGAGGCUGCUCGCCUAUUAAAAGGGAACGUGAGCUGGGUUUAGACCGUCGUGAGACAGGUCGGACUUUAUCUGCUGGGAAUGCUGGUCGCCUGAAGGGAGGAUAUCCUCAGUACGAGAGGAACUGGGUGUCGCGGCCUCCGGUCUACCGGUUAUCCAGCAGGGUAGACGCCGGGCAGCUGCGCCGCUGUGGAUAAGGGCUGAAAGCAUCUAAGCCCGAAGCCACUCCUGAAAAUAGGCGACCAAUCUGGAGUGU
Molecule: ribosomal RNA, 1700 nt
Filed under: hot springs metagenome
Description: bacterial LSU rRNA
Rfam family: Archaeal large subunit ribosomal RNA
Source: RNAcentral